GGGAAACUCACCAGGUCCAGACACAAUAAGGAUUGACAGAUUGAGAGCUCUUUCUUGAUUUUGUGGGUGGUGGUGCAUGGCCGUUCUUAGUUGGUGGAGUGAUUUGUCUGCUUAAUUGCGAUAACGAACGAGACCUUAACCUGCUAAAUAGCCAGGCCCGCUUUGGCGGGCCGCCGGCUUCUUAGAGGGACUAUCGGCUCAAGCCGAUGGAAGUUUGAGGCAAUAA
This 226-nucleotide ribosomal RNA is filed under the name uncultured eukaryote. RNAcentral describes it as "partial 18S ribosomal RNA". It matches the Rfam family "Eukaryotic small subunit ribosomal RNA", at positions 1208 to 1456 of the family's 1831-position model. The record is from RNAcentral.